RNAcentral lists this ribosomal RNA (497 nucleotides) under uncultured bacterium. Its description in RNAcentral is "partial 16S ribosomal RNA". It matches the Rfam family "Bacterial small subunit ribosomal RNA", at positions 28 to 507 of the family's 1533-position model. The record is from RNAcentral.
GAUGAACGCUGGCGGCGUGCCUAAUACAUGCAAGUCGAGCGAACAGACGAGGAGCUUGCUCCUCUGACGUUAGCGGCGGACGGGUGAGUAACACGUGGAUAACCUACCUAUAAGACUGGGAUAACUUCGGGAAACCGGAGCUAAUACUGGAUAAUAUAUUGAACCGCAUGGUUCAAUAGUGAAAGACGGUUUUGCUGUCACUUAUAGAUGGAUCCGCGCCGCAUUAGCUAGUUGGUAAGGUAACGGCUUACCAAGGCGACGAUGCGUAGCCGACCUGAGAGGGUGAUCGGCUACACUGGAACUGAGACACGGUCCAGACUCCUACGGGAGGCAGCAGUAGGGAAUCUUCCGCAAUGGGCGAAAGCCUGACGGAGCAACGCCGCGUGAGUGAUGAAGGUCUUCGGAUCGUAAAACUCUGUUAUUAGGGAAGAACAAAUGUGUAAGUAACUAUGCACGUCUUGACGGUACCUAAUCAGAAAGCCACGGCUAACUACGUG